Molecule: unclassified non-coding RNA, 429 nt
Filed under: soil metagenome
Description: partial contains 5.8S ribosomal RNA, internal transcribed spacer 2, and large subunit ribosomal RNA
Rfam family: 5.8S ribosomal RNA (bases 1-120)
Source: RNAcentral
GAUGAAGAACGUAGCGAAAGGCGAUACGUAAUGUGAAUUCCAGAAUUCAGUGAAUCAUCGAAUCUUUGAACGCAUAUUGCGCUCUUUGGUAUUCCGAAGAGCAUGCUUGUUUGAGUAUCAGUAAUCACCUCAAAGUCUUUUUUUCUUGAAGAAAAAGACCUUGGACUUGAGCAAUCCCAACUCUUCUUUCAGAAGAGGCGGGUUGCUUGAAAUGCAGGUGCAGCUGGACAUUCUCCUGAGCUAAAAGCAUAUUCAUUUAGUCCCGUCAAACGGAUUAUUACUUUUGCUGCAGCUAACAUAAAGGGAGUUUGACCAUUUUGGCUGACUGAUGCAGGAAUUUCACAAGAGUCUUCAAAACGCUCUUGUUAAACUCGAUCUCAAAUCAAGUAAGACUACCCGCUGAACUUAAGCAUAUCAAUAAGCGGAGGA